AGUACGUGAAACUGCUUAGAGGUUAAGCCCGAUGAACCUGAAUAUCCAUUAUGGAAAAUUCAAUAUUAAUAAAAUUAUAUAAAUCAUAUAAUAAAAAUAGUAUGCAAUUUUUCCAUAUAAGGACAUUGUAAUCUGUUAAUGAAAAUAAAAAUUUAUGAAAAGAUCCAUUUACUUAAGUUUAUUCAAAUUGAAUUUUUUUAAAUUUAACAUAAAAUAAAUGUUAUUGGAUUUGAUAAAUCAUUGACAGAUAUAAUUAUAUAAAGUGCUUAAUUUCUUUUAUUAGAAUUUUAUAAUGAUAAAUUGAUUUUUAUUAAUUUAUUUAAUUGUAUGCGCUUUUAUGAUUAACAAUGCUAUAGAUUCAGGAUACCUUCGGGACCCGUCUUGAAACACGGACCAAGGAGUCUAACAUAUGUGCAAGUCAUUGGGUAUUUUUAAUAAAACCCAAUGGCGUAAUUAACUUAACUUAUUAAAUAAAUAUGGGAUUAAUUUAUAUUUUGUCAUGAGAUAUUUAUUCAAUCCCGGGGCGUUCUAUAUAGUUAUGUAUAAUAAUAUUUAUUAUUAUUUAUGCCUCUAACUAGAGCGUACCUUGAGC
Molecule: ribosomal RNA, 592 nt
Filed under: Salpingogaster cornuta
Lineage: Eukaryota; Metazoa; Arthropoda; Insecta; Diptera; Syrphidae
Description: eukaryotic LSU rRNA
Source: RNAcentral